UGCUCGGCGUGGUGAAAGGCGCGAAUGCGUUCCUUCAGGGCGCAUGGGGCGGUGAUCAGGCCGAGGGUUUUACGCCCCUGCCGGGCGA
RNAcentral lists this transfer RNA (88 nucleotides) under Acidomonas methanolica NBRC 104435. RNAcentral's name for it is "tRNA-Glu". The record is from RNAcentral. Lineage: Bacteria; Pseudomonadati; Pseudomonadota; Alphaproteobacteria; Acetobacterales; Acetobacteraceae.